Bombina bombina (fire-bellied toad) is the source of this 110-nucleotide small nuclear RNA. The record is from RefSeq and is a predicted model, not a curated record. Lineage: Eukaryota; Metazoa; Chordata; Amphibia; Anura; Bombinatoridae.
GUAAAAUAUCAAACAUUUAGCACAUAUACUAAAUUGGAACAAUACAGAGAAGAUUCGCCUGAUCCCUGUAUAUAGAUGACAUGCAAAUUAGUGAAGCGUUCCAUAUUAAA